Long non-coding RNA from Zeugodacus cucurbitae (melon fly), 1377 nucleotides. RefSeq lists it as uncharacterized. The transcript is spliced from 3 exons. Lineage: Eukaryota; Metazoa; Arthropoda; Insecta; Diptera; Tephritidae. The record is from RefSeq and is a predicted model, not a curated record.
CAGUACGGCUGGUAUGAAUUUGUUAAUUGCACUAGUGAAUUCAUAUAUUAUAAGUAACUAGUUAAUUCACGACACCGCCGUAAUGCAGAGAAGCAGUAGUACAGGAGAGAGAUUGUGAGAGAAGAGAGCAUGAUCUACAGCACGCAAUUUUUUCAAUAUGUACUCUCAGUAGAAUAUCAGCGAAAAAUAAGGGUGGAAUGCAAAUUUGAGAAAACCUAGUCGUUACAGUAAGCACAGUUUGAUAAAAACGCUUGUAUUAUUACCGCAUUUACAUACAUGUCGAUCAUGAAAAGCAUGAUUCACUGUAAAAAAACUUCUAAAUUUCGCGACAAAUGUUUACCGUUACAUAUGGAGACAGCGUUUUAUUUGUAAUUUUCAAGUUGUACUUUUUCGGCAUUAUAGUUUCAUGCAACAUCGCGUCGUGUUUGGUAAUUAAAUUUUUGAUUAUUAAUAUUUUAAACCGUUUAAAUAAAAAGUGAAUAAAGGUGAGAAAAUGUAUAAAGGCAUUUGAAGCGCCUUCAAUACGCGGAAAGGAAAAAAUAUUGAAAAUCGCGGAAAAAACGGACGAAACUGUGAAGAUUAAAAAAAUAAAAAAUGUGAAAAGGAUGAGCAAGUGGUAGAAAUAGAAGAAAGUGUUUUAAACAGUGAGAUAGAUUUAGAGGCCAGAGAAUUCCAGAAAAAUAUAGCUUAAAUACAUAGGAAAUGUAUGUACAUAUAUGUAUAACUAAAUAUAAUUAUUUCAAUACUUUAAGAUUGAACUUUUACAAUAUUUCAGCUAAAGACAGAAAGGAAUGCAAUUGUCAGAUGUUCUAAAAACGCAUAGAAGAGUAUAUAAUUAUAAUAACUAUAAUUAUUCUUCAUAAUUUUUUUAGAAACAAUGCUACAGGAUAACAAGCUUUUAAGAGAUCAACUCCGAAUUUGCAUGGAAGCAGUAGUCGAUAUGAAAGUAGUUGUAAAUAAGUGGAAUCGCCACAUUGCUGAGGAAACUGUUUUAACAGCAAAAUUUCCAUUGUCAAGUGUGGAGGAGGUAGAUGUCUAAAUGCAGAAAUAAAUAACGACAAUCGCGAAUGAAUGGUCAAUCUUUGCAUCUUAAUUCCUUUAUAAUAAUUACUUUUCUUUUCAGGUAAAAACUAUGAAAUCCCUUUUUAGACCGGUAGGGGUGGUUAAAAAUCUUAAAGAGAUAUUGACGGACGCUGUUGUCCAAGAAUAUAAUAUUGAUGGAAUUCAUGGAAAAAAAUCUUUAAGAAGUCUGGAGAAUUUUUACUCCCUAAAUAGAAUCAAUUCCAGUUAGCGAUGACUUCGAGCCGGCCGAAAAACAAUUGCGCAAAGCAAUUCAGCUACAAAAAAUAGAAUAAACAUAGUGUAAAUAAAAAUAAA